UUGUAGAAUAACGAAGCACCAGAAAGUUAGCUUAACUGAGCACAGCACAGCGCAGCAUAGCUCAAUGUUGAUUGGUCAC
This is a long non-coding RNA of Maniola jurtina (meadow brown), 79 nucleotides long. RefSeq lists it as uncharacterized. NCBI's taxonomy places the organism in Eukaryota, Metazoa, Arthropoda, Insecta, Lepidoptera, Nymphalidae. The record is from RefSeq and is a predicted model, not a curated record. The transcript is spliced from 3 exons.